UCCGUAGGUGAACCUGCGAAAGGAUCAUUA
Molecule: ribosomal RNA, 30 nt
Filed under: uncultured Tulasnellaceae
Lineage: Eukaryota; Fungi; Basidiomycota; Agaricomycetes; Cantharellales; Tulasnellaceae
Description: partial 18S ribosomal RNA
Source: RNAcentral